RNAcentral lists this long non-coding RNA (1077 nucleotides) under Homo sapiens (human). Its description in RNAcentral is "non-protein coding lnc-KPNA2-6:8". The record is from RNAcentral. Lineage: Eukaryota; Metazoa; Chordata; Mammalia; Primates; Hominidae.
CAAAUGGCCGCGGCGGCCUCAGGUCCGGCGUCACUCAGACAAGGGGGCGGGUGGAGGAGGAAGCGGCCAAGUCCACAGUCCUGCUCCCGUGCCGCCGAGCACCGCCCACCUCAGCUGACCAGCCCUGUCCGCUACUAGGCCUCGCCUAGAGGAGGGAAAGGCCGUGGCGUCCGCUCCCUCCGCGGCUCAUGGCGACGACGCUUGGCACAUCCGGGACCCUCAGGCCGCUGCAGUCGCGUCGCCGGCUGCUCGGGCCCCAGCCCCGGCCGCUGUGGUGACUCCGCCGCGCCUCGCCGUCGCCCCCGUCCCGCCCGCCGCCCCAGCCGCCAGGGACAUGUCUAACCUCGGAGGCCGUAGGAACGGGCCUGUCGAAGUGCGCCUGACAGGUGAAGGGGGCGCGGCGGGCCGGGCUGGGCAGCCGCGAGGUGGGCGAGCUGGCAGGGGUGCUUGUGGCCUUGGGAAGGGCCAGGGUCGCGAUCAGUGGGACAUGCCACCCCCGUUUUAGGAGAACUUGUAUUUGGUUUGAGAAGGAAUUGGAAUCACGGCGUUAUCCUACCUUCACCAUUUACCCCUGAUAAAUUGUCCACGUUUAUAUUUGGGAAUCAUAUUGACAGGUCAUGAAAAUGAGACCAAAAGAUCUCUGGAAGCGAUUAAUGAUAAAAUUUCAUGGAGAAGAAGGCCUUGACUACGGAGGGGUUGCCAGGGUGAUGACAACUCCGUGAGGGUGGAGAUUAUACAUCUCUCAUCAUUUCAGCAACAAGGAAAUAAAUUAGUGGCAGAGUAAGGGUGACUUGAGAUCUCUUGGAAGCGAGGAUCCUUUAAAAAUCCUGGAAUAUACACUGCAGUAAAAGAACAAAGCAUACCUCAGCCUUAAACGACUGAAGAAGAAUGUCAAGUGGGGAAGUGGCUUUGGUUUUCAGUUUGUGGGUUCUGAAUCCACACAAAGACAGGAUUGCUUUCUGAAAACCUGAAUUAAUUAUUGUCCUUACCUCAAUAAGACAAAAAAUUAGAAUCAAAAUCGUUAGUAUUACAGUCACAGAUAUCACCAAGAUUAGUUUGUUGUUAUAGCCAUAUCCU